RNAcentral lists this ribosomal RNA (513 nucleotides) under uncultured bacterium. Its description in RNAcentral is "partial 16S ribosomal RNA". It matches the Rfam family "Bacterial small subunit ribosomal RNA", at positions 28 to 523 of the family's 1533-position model. The record is from RNAcentral.
GAUGAACGCUGGCGGCGUGCCUAAUACAUGCAAGUCGAGCGAAUGGAUUAAGAGCUUGCUCUUAUGAAGUUAGCGGCGGACGGGUGAGUAACACGUGGGUAACCUGCCCAUAAGACUGGGAUAACUCCGGGAAACCGGGGCUAAUACCGGAUAACAUUUUGAACCGCAUGGUUCGAAAUUGAAAGGCGGCUUCGGCUGUCACUUAUGGAUGGACCCGCGUCGCAUUAGCUAGUUGGUGAGGUAAUAGCUUACCAAGGCAAUGACGGGUAGCCGACCUGAAAGGGUGACCGGCCACAAUGGCACUGGGACACGGGCCAUACUCCUACGGGAGGCAGCAGUGGGGAAUUUUGGACAAUGGGGGCAACCCUGAUCCAGCGACGCCGCGUGGAGGAUUGAAGGUCUUCGGAUUGUAAACUCCUUUUAGAGGGGACGAAUGUACGGUGUGUAACAACAUCGUAUUGACUGUACCCUCAGAAUAAGUCACGGCUAACUACGUGCCAGCAGCCGCCGUAA